GUUCCUUUUGGCUGGUCCAUGGAGUGGGAUCCGUCCCUGGCUGGCAGUGACCCUCCUGAGUGACACCAAGCUUUAGGCUGAGUACAGUGUCAACCUUCGCGACGUGCGUAGUCGCAUGUUUAUUUUCCUUCCACUGUGAACUUGGACAAGCUAUGUAGCUUGUCGUGUUAAACACUGUUUGUAUAAAUUUACAUUAAACUUGAACAGG
RNAcentral lists this long non-coding RNA (208 nucleotides) under Panicum hallii. RNAcentral's name for it is "long non-coding RNA (PHAL_LNC000419)". Lineage: Eukaryota; Viridiplantae; Streptophyta; Magnoliopsida; Poales; Poaceae. The record is from RNAcentral.